RNAcentral lists this ribosomal RNA (501 nucleotides) under Erythrobacter sp. WH294. RNAcentral describes it as "bacterial SSU rRNA". It matches the Rfam family "Bacterial small subunit ribosomal RNA", at positions 116 to 652 of the family's 1533-position model. Lineage: Bacteria; Pseudomonadati; Pseudomonadota; Alphaproteobacteria; Sphingomonadales; Erythrobacteraceae. The record is from RNAcentral.
CGUGGGAACCUGCCCUUAGGUUCGGAAUAACUCAGAGAAAUUUGAGCUAAUACCGGAUAAUGUCUUCGGACCAAAGAUUUAUCGCCUUUGGAUGGGCCCGCGUAGGAUUAGAUAGUUGGUGGGGUAAUGGCCUACCAAGUCGACGAUCCUUAGCUGGUCUGAGAGGAUGAUCAGCCACACUGGGACUGAGACACGGCCCAGACUCCUACGGGAGGCAGCAGUGGGGAAUAUUGGACAAUGGGCGAAAGCCUGAUCCAGCAAUGCCGCGUGAGUGAUGAAGGCCUUAGGGUUGUAAAGCUCUUUUACCAGGGAUGAUAAUGACAGUACCUGGAGAAUAAGCUCCGGCUAACUCCGUGCCAGCAGCCGCGGUAAUACGGAGGGAGCUAGCGUUGUUCGGAAUUACUGGGCGUAAAGCGCACGUAGGCGGCUUUUCAAGUCAGGGGUGAAAUCCCGGGGCUCAACCCCGGAACUGCCCUUGAAACUGGAUGGCUAGAAUACUGG